CAGUAGCCGCGGUAAUACGGAGGGGGCUAGCGUUGUUCGGAAUUACUGGGCGUAAAGCGCACGUAGGCGGCUUGGUAAGUUAGAGGUGAAAGCCCGGAGCUCAACUCCGGAAUUGCCUUUAAGACUGCCGAGCUAGCAGGUGAGAGAGGUAAGUGGAAUUCCGAGUGUAGAGGUGAAAUUCGUAGAUAUUCGGAAGAACACCAGUGGCGAAGGCGGCUUACUGGCUCAUACUGGACGCUGAGGUGCGAAAGCGUGGGGAGCAAACAGGAUUAGAUACCCGUGUAGUCCCUGUCUCUUAUAA
RNAcentral lists this ribosomal RNA (301 nucleotides) under uncultured bacterium. RNAcentral's name for it is "partial 16S ribosomal RNA". It matches the Rfam family "Bacterial small subunit ribosomal RNA", at positions 509 to 809 of the family's 1533-position model. The record is from RNAcentral.